UACGGGGGGGGCAAGCGUUGUUCGGAAUUACUGGGCGUAAAGGGCUCGUAGGUGGCCAACUAAGUCAGACGUGAAAUCCCUCGGCUUAACCGGGGAACUGCGUCUGAUACUGGAUGGCUUGAGAUUGGGAGAGGGAUGCGGAAUUCCAGGUGUAGCGGUGAAAUGCGUAGAUAUCUGGAGGAACACCGGUGGCGAAGGCGGCAUCCUGGACCAACACUGACACUGAGGAGCGAAAGCCAGGAGAGCAAACGGG
This 253-nucleotide ribosomal RNA is filed under the name uncultured bacterium. Its description in RNAcentral is "partial 16S ribosomal RNA". It matches the Rfam family "Bacterial small subunit ribosomal RNA", at positions 524 to 776 of the family's 1533-position model. The record is from RNAcentral.